Molecule: transfer RNA, 113 nt
Filed under: Lepisosteus oculatus (spotted gar)
Lineage: Eukaryota; Metazoa; Chordata; Actinopteri; Semionotiformes; Lepisosteidae
Rfam family: tRNA
About the family: Transfer RNA (tRNA) molecules are approximately 80 nucleotides in length. Their secondary structure includes four short double-helical elements and three loops (D, anti-codon, and T loops). Further hydrogen bonds mediate the characteristic L-shaped molecular structure. tRNAs have two regions of fundamental functional importance: the anti-codon, which is responsible for specific mRNA codon recognition, and the 3' end, to which the tRNAs corresponding amino acid is attached (by aminoacyl-tRNA synthetases). tRNAs cope with the degeneracy of the genetic code in two manners: having more than one tRNA (with a specific anti-codon) for a particular amino acid; and 'wobble' base-pairing, i.e. permitting non-standard base-pairing at the 3rd anti-codon position.
Source: Rfam by way of RNAcentral
AUCGGGAUGGCCGAGCGGUCUAGGGCGCCAGAAUCAAGGACUCGUGUCUUUUUAAUUUGCUCGGGUGUUCUGGUCUCCGAAUGGAGGAGUGGGUUCAAAUCCCACUCCUGACG